AGAGCCAGCAGUCUGCUGCAAGCAGCCGAGGAGAGACUAUUGCCUGGCUGGAGCUGCUUCUCAGAACAUCUUGGAGGUAUUCAAUGUCUGCUUGGCGUUUUGCAAGUGUCUCCGGAGACCAUUGCCAGUUCAGAAUAUUUUGGGUUCUGCCCCACUGUUAGAACAACUACCCAAAACAGUGUCCUGUAAUCAAUGCCCCAAGGUAUCCCAUUCAGUUAAUCAAACCCCUUCCCAUUUGACUGAAGUGUAACCUCUGGACUGAUCAAAAAGCUUGCAAAAACAAGUCUUACAACUGGAAAACCCAAAACAGGAUCUGAGCAGUUAGGAACUGUAAUAUGGUGGUUUCUCCCUACCUGCUUUGUUCCAACUUUAAUCAACCAGCUAUCAAAGAGGAAUGUUUUGAAGCUAUACAAUUGAAGAAGUAUAAGAAUGAAACAGAGUUGCUGGCAAAACACACUUCCAGAGAGAGACAGAGAGAGAGAGAGAAAUCACUGCAACAUUGUAACCUCAGCCCAGCUGAUCACUCUCCUGGACAGAUUCAAGCCUCGAGAAGGCUGUGGAGAUUGAAACCACUGCCUACUUGUAUUGGUAAGAAACACUACUGCAGCUAAUAGAUACUGGACUUCUGUGAUAGCUCACUUAUUGAAUAUUGGGAAGGAAUCUUUUUCUGUCAUUUAGUUUUAAAGCUUGUUUGUGGUAUAGUUAUUAAAACCUUUCUGUCAUUAAUUGA
Long non-coding RNA from Alligator mississippiensis (American alligator), 730 nucleotides. RefSeq lists it as uncharacterized. The record is from RefSeq and is a predicted model, not a curated record. NCBI's taxonomy places the organism in Eukaryota, Metazoa, Chordata, Crocodylia, Alligatoridae. The transcript has 2 exons.